GUCAGAAUAGUAAUGAGUGCAGCUGUGACGCGCGGCUCGAUCUGACGCAGACGGAGACUCUGGGACUCUGAGAGCGACUGCUGAUGAAGCCGCUGAACACCGGAGCGCUGCGCUGGACACGAGACACACAGCAGGAAGUGUGCUUUGGUGUUUCGGUCACGUUUAACUUCGGCUGGACUUCAUGCCGAGUGACGGAUCUACAAUGUUCACUGGUGCAACUUUCCAAAGUGUUCUGUUGGUGGCGAUCUGUCUCGUAAGCUGGGCCGCCCCACAUGGCCUCGAACGCCCAGGAGACCUUCGUGGAGAAGAUAAAGAGUCGGCAUCAGCUGACAGAUCACUGGAUUCAGGCUCCUCCAGUCUGACGGUCCCCAACACAUCCCUGAGCAUCACCGGUGGAGAACCCAACACCACACCAGCAUCUGCACCGGAUGGAAACGAGGACAGACGGUCCAGGAUGGAUGAGCGGCAGAACACCACGCCUCCGUCCUCUGGAGAUUCUCAUGUCUCUCCGUCUCUGACGACGCCUCCUGCUGGAGAUCUGGAGAGAAGUGACACGCUUCACUGGAACUCAUCUGCGGAGGACAGAGGACCGACUCCUUCAGCUCUUCAGUCAGAUGCGUUCAGCCUCUCGCCGCUCACCGGCGGAGACUCGGCGGCUGGAUUAGCAGCUGAAUCCGGACUGAGCUUCAGCUCCAGACUGCUGGACUCGCCGGAUACCUGGACCGAAGCGGAUCGUCUGCAGGCAGAGGAAGUGAGCGUCUUUCCCUCCUCUCAGGACGUCAGCACAGAGGUCACCAUGUCCUCCGAAGACCUUCCUCUGAUUUUUGAGCCGUUUGAAGACGUCACGGCGCCCGGAGCAUCAUCCGGACCGUCUGUCGCCAUGACGCCAGCGGCCGUAACCAUAGGAGACCCAGAGCUGGAGCGGAUGGUGUCCAUGGUUACGGAUCACAUUUCCUCUGACGGCCGUCUCUCAGGAAUGCUGGAGACGUCUGGAGUGACAGAGCCAAUCACAGAACCCCAUCCGGAAGCAGAGCAUUAUGGGACGACACAACGUGAGAAUAUAUAACAGAGCGCAGCAGUGAUGGCAUAUUUCUGGAGCAUCACUCUGAGUCCCUCGACUAAAACCCAAUAGAAUUUU
Molecule: long non-coding RNA, 1138 nt
Filed under: Sinocyclocheilus grahami
Lineage: Eukaryota; Metazoa; Chordata; Actinopteri; Cypriniformes; Cyprinidae
Description: lncRNA (ENSSGRG00000010350.1)
Source: RNAcentral